CAAAAGCCUGGUCCUGACUUUAACAUCGGUUGUGGCCCAAAUUAUACAUGCGAGUAUCCGCGCCCCUGUGAGGAGAACUUUCAUCCCCAAUAUGGAAGAAAUUUUAGGCAUCAGGCACACUCAAGAGUAGCCCAAAACGCCAAGCUAAGCCACACCCCCAAGGGAAUUCAGCAGUAAUAAGUAUUAAUGUAUAAGCGAAAGCUUGACUUAAUUAGGGCAAUAAUAGAGCCGGUAAAACUCGUGCCAGCCACCGCGGUUAUACGAGGGGCUCAAAUUGAUGUGUAACGGCGUAAAGAGUGAUUAGAGAAUACCUAACUAAAGCUGAAAACACCCUCAGUUGUCAUACGCUAAUGGUAAAUGGAAAGCCAGGAACGAAAGUAGCUUUAAAAAUCUUGAAUUCACGACCAUUGAGGAACAAACCGGGAUUAGAUACCCCAUUAUGCUCAAUAGUAAACAACGGUGGUGGAGAACACAAGCCGCCCGCCAGGGGAUUACGAACACCUAGUUUAAAACCCAAAGGACUUGACGGUGCCUUAGACCCACUUAGAGGAGCCUGUCCUAUAACCGAUAUACCCCGUUAAACCUCACUACUCCUUGCAUGUCAGCCUAUAUACCGCCGUCGGCAGCUUACCUUGUGAAAGACACUAUAGUGAGCUAAAUGGAAUACAGAUCCAGAACGUCAGGUCGAGGUGUAGCAAACGGAGUAGGAAGAGAUGGGCUACACUUUCUGGAUCAGAAAAAACGAAAGGUGGAAUGAAAAUAACACAACCGAAGGUGGAUUUAACAGUAAGAUUCAUGAAAAAAGAGAGUUCGACUGAAUAAGGCUCUAAGGCGAGUACACACCGCCCGUCACUCUCUUCUAGGGCGGGAUAAUCAACUAAAUAAUGCUUAAAACAGCCAGCAGAGGAGACAAGUCGUAACAUGGUAAGUGUACCGGAAGGUGCACUUGGAAUAACU
Molecule: non-coding RNA, 957 nt
Filed under: Ariosoma anago (silvery conger)
Lineage: Eukaryota; Metazoa; Chordata; Actinopteri; Anguilliformes; Congridae
Description: 12S ribosomal RNA
Rfam family: Bacterial small subunit ribosomal RNA
Source: RNAcentral